RNAcentral lists this ribosomal RNA (254 nucleotides) under uncultured bacterium. Its description in RNAcentral is "partial 16S ribosomal RNA". It matches the Rfam family "Bacterial small subunit ribosomal RNA", at positions 524 to 776 of the family's 1533-position model. The record is from RNAcentral.
UACGGGGGGAGCAAGCGUUGUUCGGAUUUACUGGGCGUAAAGGGCGCGUAGGCGGUCAGCACAAGUCAGUUGUGAAAUCUCCGAGCUUAACUCGGAAAGGUCAACUGAUACUGUGCGACUAGAGUGCGGAAGGGGCAACUGGAAUUCUUGGUGUAGCGGUGAAAUGCGUAGAUAUCAAGAGGAACACCUGCGGCGAAGGCGGGUUGCUGGGCCGACACUGACGCUGAGGCGCGAAGGCCAGGGGAGCAAACGGG